AUGAGAGCAAUUAGUUGGAACUGCCGUGGAAUGUUGUCUUCCACGGCAGUUCGAGAGCUCCGGGAGCUCCAAGGUCGUAAUUGUGCGGAGUUGAUUUUUCUUUCCGAGUCGCAUUUGAAUAAAAGUAAAGCUGACGAGCUACGUUGUAUCUUAGGUUUUAGUUCCAUGUUUUUAGAUGAGAGUGAUGGCAAGUCUGGUGGUCUUGUCCUUUUUUAUCAAAAAGAGAAUAAAGUCGAGUUGAACUAUUUGUCUUCCCAUUUUAUUGAUGUUGUAUUUAUGAAUGAUAAUUCUGUAAAUUGG
This 300-nucleotide ribosomal RNA is filed under the name Triticum aestivum (bread wheat). RNAcentral's name for it is "partial small subunit ribosomal RNA". The record is from RNAcentral. Lineage: Eukaryota; Viridiplantae; Streptophyta; Magnoliopsida; Poales; Poaceae.